GCCCUGGUGGCACAGCUGGAUAGCGCGUCCCCCUCCUAAGGGGAAGGUCGCAGGUUCGAAUCCUGCCCAGGGCGCCA
RNAcentral lists this transfer RNA (77 nucleotides) under Hahella chejuensis. RNAcentral's name for it is "tRNA-Arg". It matches the Rfam family "tRNA". Rfam says of the family: Transfer RNA (tRNA) molecules are approximately 80 nucleotides in length. Their secondary structure includes four short double-helical elements and three loops (D, anti-codon, and T loops). RNAcentral also lists the same sequence under 7 other names. Lineage: Bacteria; Pseudomonadati; Pseudomonadota; Gammaproteobacteria; Oceanospirillales; Hahellaceae. The record is from RNAcentral.